This 377-nucleotide long non-coding RNA is filed under the name Salmo salar (Atlantic salmon). RNAcentral describes it as "lncRNA (ENSSSAG00000091249.1)". Lineage: Eukaryota; Metazoa; Chordata; Actinopteri; Salmoniformes; Salmonidae. The record is from RNAcentral.
ACAUCAGGUGGGACUGAUCUGGACUGUUAUGACUGAACAGAACAUCAGGUGGGACUAGAUCUGGACUGUUAUGACUGAACAGAACAUCAGGUGGGACUAGAUCUGGACUGUUAUGACUGAACAGAACAUCAGGUGGGACUAGAUCUGGACUGUUAUGACUGAACAGAACAUCAGGUGGGACUAGAUCUGGACUGUUAUGGCUGAACAGAACAUCAGGUGGGACUAGAUCUGGACUGUUGAACAGAACAUCAGGUGGGACUAGAUCUGGGCUGUUAUGACUGAACAGAACAUCAGGUGGGACUAGAUCUGGACUGUUAUGACUGAACAGAACAUCAGGUGGGACUAGAUCUGGACUGUUGAACAGAACAUCAGGUGGG